This 460-nucleotide ribosomal RNA is filed under the name uncultured bacterium. Its description in RNAcentral is "partial 16S ribosomal RNA". It matches the Rfam family "Bacterial small subunit ribosomal RNA", at positions 338 to 795 of the family's 1533-position model. The record is from RNAcentral.
CCUACGGGCGGCAGCAGUGAGGAAUAUUGGUCAAUGGACGCAAGUCUGAACCAGCCAUGCCGCGUGCAGGAAGACGGCCCUAUGAGUUGUAAACUGCUUUUGUAUGAGGGUAAACGCAGAUACGCGUAUCUUUCUGUAAGUACCGUACGAAUAAGGAUCGGCUAACUCCGUGCCAGCAGCCGCGGUAAUACGGAGGAUUCAAGCGUUAUCCGGAUUUAUUGGGUUUAAAGGGUGCGUAGGCGGUCGGAUAAGUUAGAGGUGAAAUCCCGAGGCUCAACUUCGGAAUUGCCGCUGAUACUGUCAGGCUAGAGAAUAGUAGCGGUGGGCGGAAUGUAUGGUGUAGCGGUGAAAUGCUUAGAGAUCAUACAGAACACCGAUUGCGAAGGCAGCUUACCAAGCUGCUUCUGACAUUGAGGCACGAAAGCGUGGGGAGCAAACAGGAUUAGAUACCCUGGUAGUC